GCGAAAGUGGCGGAAUUGGCAGACGCGCUGGAUUUAGGAUCCAGUGGCUUAUAGCCGUGGGGGUUCGAGUCCCCCCUUUCGCACGA
Molecule: transfer RNA, 86 nt
Filed under: candidate division LCP-89 bacterium B3_LCP
Lineage: Bacteria; Pseudomonadati; candidate division LCP-89
Description: tRNA-Leu
Rfam family: tRNA
About the family: Transfer RNA (tRNA) molecules are approximately 80 nucleotides in length. Their secondary structure includes four short double-helical elements and three loops (D, anti-codon, and T loops). Further hydrogen bonds mediate the characteristic L-shaped molecular structure. tRNAs have two regions of fundamental functional importance: the anti-codon, which is responsible for specific mRNA codon recognition, and the 3' end, to which the tRNAs corresponding amino acid is attached (by aminoacyl-tRNA synthetases). tRNAs cope with the degeneracy of the genetic code in two manners: having more than one tRNA (with a specific anti-codon) for a particular amino acid; and 'wobble' base-pairing, i.e. permitting non-standard base-pairing at the 3rd anti-codon position.
Source: RNAcentral